UAGAAUUGGAGGGGGAGGGGGAGGCUGGUCGGGGCGCCGGUGCGAGAGAUUUUAGUAUCUCGAACGCGGAUUGGGGGUUGGUUUCAUAUUGUAAAAGACGGAGAUAGGGCACAUAAGGGUGGGUGGGGGUAGGUAUUUUGGCGUCUGCGUUGUUCUCGUGGAAAAGGGAUGGUCUGUGCAUCGAUUGACGAGGGGGGAUACUAUCCAAGAGUCCGGGCCCAGUCAGAAGGCAGACGGUCGUCAAGACUGGCGUUCUCGUGAAUUGCUGCUACACUCUACUGCAAAGCAGCCCCCUCAAGUGUGGGUAAAAGGGGGUGCCAUCGACGUCCACGCUGUUAGUGAUGGUGAUCGUCAACUUGGCGUCAGCCGUAAUUGAAUGUCUUUCCAUUGGACGAUGAGACAUCUCAUCUGAGGUCUGGACCCGCCUCCCCUUCUGUCUCUGCGUCGCCUAGUAACAUCACCAGGUCUGGUAACAACCCACCCCCCCUCCUCCAGAAGGACAUGACAGACAGCAUCACGUUUUCAAUUAUAUCCAGGAUUCACUUGGGGAGUUUAUUGCAACUUGAAACAGGACGACCAAAAAAACUGUCAACACACACGUGUGUAGCUUACAAGUUUCAGCACAGAGCUUCAUUUUAGAUUUGUGCUGCAUCUUCACUGGAAGAAGACCGGAAUUGGCAGGGUUACCCUCAGGAUUACCCACCAUCAUUUCAUCUUCCCUUGAAUUUCUCUCAGUGUAGGAUUUGAAGUUCUCACGGCGGUGAGUACGAAGAUGGUUGCCUUCUGGGUUAGACUACACGGCGCUACAAUCCAGAAGAUAACCGUAUUCGUUCUAUCACAAUGAUUUCCAAUUACUUAUGAAGUUUCAACUAAUCUGCAAAA
This is a non-coding RNA of Zootermopsis nevadensis, 882 nucleotides long. The record is from RefSeq and is a predicted model, not a curated record. NCBI's taxonomy places the organism in Eukaryota, Metazoa, Arthropoda, Insecta, Blattodea, Termopsidae.